Molecule: long non-coding RNA, 646 nt
Organism: Homo sapiens (human)
Lineage: Eukaryota; Metazoa; Chordata; Mammalia; Primates; Hominidae
Gene: ANXA2R-OT1
Product: ANXA2R overlapping transcript 1
Source: Ensembl
GCAGUGGAAGACGGUUGGCGACCCGGAUGGCUUUUGUUACCAGGGCCAGCCCAAUCCGCCCGAUUCUCGGUCCCUAUACUGCCUCCUUUUCCCAUGCGCAUCGCAAGGGAUCGGUUGAUGGGGCCCUCAGUAUGACUUCGCUAGGAAAAAUAAAGUGCAGCUCGUUUCUCAGAGCCGGCGGAUGUUCAUGGGCAGCACCAUCGAGCCAGAAGCAGUAUUUGUCCUGGAGGAAAUCAGUGGUGCUUCAGGAUAUUGUGAAUUUGGUCUUCUGAAAGCAGAAUUCUGAUUUAACAGUAUAAUGGAAUUCGUGAACGUCAUGAUGCUAAUUUGAACCAACAAGCACCCUUGUGAGAGGAAUCUGCUUUUCCUCAAGUCUGAAGAACACCAGGAGAAUCUUUCUGUAUGGAGUUACCAGGAAUCCUCUGCUAAGGAAAGUGAAAGGGAAGAUGCAAUUUCUCCUGGGAAGGGGGGAUGCUGAUGUAGAGGGUGACAAGUAAUAUGCCAUGAAGGAUUCAGUCACCUGGUUAGAUUUAGAGUUAGAGUUAUGGUUAAGGAAGAAGGAAGGAAAAAAGGCAGAAGAGGAAGAAAGGAAGCAAGAAAAGAUAAAAUUUAUUCUAAGAUAAAAUUUGUGAAUUUUGCUAAACUA